RNAcentral lists this ribosomal RNA (533 nucleotides) under uncultured rumen archaeon. RNAcentral's name for it is "bacterial SSU rRNA". It matches the Rfam family "Archaeal small subunit ribosomal RNA", at positions 107 to 644 of the family's 1478-position model. The record is from RNAcentral.
ACUACCUUAGGAUGGGAUAACUUGGGAAACUGAGGAUAAUACCGGAUAGGCAAUUAUUCCUGCAAUGGUUUUUUGUUUAAAUGUUUUUUCGCCUAAGGAUGGGUCUGCGGCCGAUUAGGUAGUUGGUUAGGUAAUGGCUUACCAAGCCGUUGAUCGGUACGGGUUGUGAGAGCAAGAGCCCGGAGAUGGAACCUGAGACAAGGUUCCAGGCCCUACGGGGUGCAGCAGGCGCGAAACCUCCGCAAUGUGAGAAAUCGCGACGGGGGGAUCCCAAGUGCCAUUCUUAACGGGAUGGCUUUUCAUUAGUGUAAGGAGCUUUUGGAAUAAGAGCUGGGCAAGACCGGUGCCAGCCGCCGCGGUAACACCGGCAGCUCUAGUGGUAACAAUUUUUAUUGGGCCUAAAGCGUCCGUAGCCGGUUUAAUAAGUCUCUGGUGAAAUCCUGUAGCUUAACUGUGGGAAUUGCUGGAGAUACUAUUAGACUUGAGACCGGGAGAGGUUAGAGGUACUCCCAGGGUAGAGGUGAAAUUCUGUA